AGAACAUCCCCUGCAAGUCCAACCUCAAGAAGACGGCCUCGCUCCUCUCCACCUUCAUGUAAUAGUUGCCCAAUUUCUGUCAAAGGGACUAAAUUUUCUAAUACAACUUUGGCAAACAUGCGGCCAAGAAAUUCUGCUGCUUUUGGGGCAUCAUUAACAGCAUCCUCCAAAGAGGUGAGAACUGACUCAAACCCUUUGAUGAGCUGGGGUGGAGUUAAUAUGCCAUCUUGAGACCUUGCAAGAUUGACAAGAAGUUUAGCCAAAAGAUCUCUCUCCAUGUCCUUCCUCUCAAAUGAAUCCGUCACCCAGAGAGAGAUCAUUGAAGGAUGGAAACUUGACGAAUUCAAUUCCUUGAUGCACAAAGCAACUUCUUUCUCGUCUCUGACACUGUAAAAUUCUUUAAUUGCUGCCAUUGACUUGUCUCGUAGUUUUUCUUCAGGCCACACCUUUUCUGAUGGAAUAUUUUGGGUGACAGCUGGUACCUGAGCUGUUGCAGGUGGAGAUGUUGCAUGAGGUCUAUCAAAACUGCGAUCUUGAUUCCUAGUAUCCCUAUUGACAUAACUCAUAUUUCGUUC
RNAcentral lists this unclassified non-coding RNA (575 nucleotides) under Hevea brasiliensis (rubber tree). The record is from RNAcentral. Lineage: Eukaryota; Viridiplantae; Streptophyta; Magnoliopsida; Malpighiales; Euphorbiaceae.